ACGGGAGGCAGCAGUGGGGAAUAUUGCACAAUGGGGGAAACCCUGAUGCAGCGACGCCGCGUGAGUGAAGAAGUAUUUCGGUAUGUAAAGCUCUAUCAGCAGGGAAGAAAAUGACGGUACCUGACUAAGAAGCCCCGGCUAACUACGUGCCAGCAGCCGCGGUAAUACGUAGGGGGCAAGCGUUAUCCGGAUUUACUGGGUGUAAAGGGAGCGUAGGCGGCACGGCAAGCCAGAAGUGAAAACCCAGGGCUUAACUCUGGGAUUGCUUUUGGAACUGUCGAGCUAGAUUGCAGGAGAGGUAAGUGGAAUUCCUAGUGUAGCGGUGAAAUGCGUAGAUAUUAGGAGGAACACCAGUGGCGAAGGCGGCUUACUGGACUGUAAAUGACGCUGAGGCUCGAAAGCGUGGGGAGCAAACAGGAUUAGAUACCCUGGUA
This 434-nucleotide ribosomal RNA is filed under the name uncultured Clostridium sp. RNAcentral describes it as "partial 16S ribosomal RNA". It matches the Rfam family "Bacterial small subunit ribosomal RNA", at positions 341 to 792 of the family's 1533-position model. RNAcentral also lists the same sequence under 1 other name. Lineage: Bacteria; Bacillati; Bacillota; Clostridia; Eubacteriales; Clostridiaceae. The record is from RNAcentral.